GCAUAUCAAUAAGCGGAGGAAAAGAAACUAACAAGGAUUCCCCUAGUAACGGCGAGUGAAGCGGGAAGAGCACAAAUUUUAAAUCUACCUGGUCUCUAGGUCGAGUUGUAAUUUGAAGAAACUGUUUUUUACGUUCCGGGUUGGAUUAAAUCCUUUGGGAUAAGGUAUCAUGGAGGGUGAGAAUCCCGUGUAUACCAACCACUGGAAUGUUAUUAAUACGUUUUCUAAGAGUCGAGUUGUUUGGGAAUGCAGCUCUAAAUGGGUGGUAAAUUUCACCUAAUGCUAAAUAUAAGCGAGAGACCGAUAGUGAACAAGUACCGUGAGGGAAAGAUGAAAAGAACUUUGAAAAGAGAGUUAAAUAGUACGUGAAAUUGUUGAAAGGGAAACGGUUGAAGUCAGUCAUGCCGGCGGGAAUCAACUUAGGGGAAACUCUAAGUGCACUUCUUCGCUUGGCAGGUUAGCGUCGAUUUUGGAUGUCAUAAAAUGACUGGGGGAAGGUAGCUCCUUCGGGAGUGUUAAGCCCUUGGUAGAUGUGAUGUUCGGGAUCGAGGAUUGCAACGGAUACCCUUUGGGCUAGCCACCUGGUCUCUAAUACGAAGUUGGGUUAUAGAUAGCAUGCUAACUAUGAUCUGAUUUUCGGUUAAAAGAUUAGAGUGAGUGUAAAUUCGUUAAGGACGCUGACGUAAUGGCUUUAAACGAC
RNAcentral lists this ribosomal RNA (700 nucleotides) under Cetraspora pellucida. RNAcentral's name for it is "eukaryotic LSU rRNA". It matches the Rfam family "Eukaryotic large subunit ribosomal RNA", at positions 38 to 648 of the family's 3401-position model. Lineage: Eukaryota; Fungi; Glomeromycota; Glomeromycetes; Diversisporales; Gigasporaceae. The record is from RNAcentral.